RNAcentral lists this ribosomal RNA (514 nucleotides) under uncultured fungus. RNAcentral's name for it is "eukaryotic LSU rRNA". The stretch from base 174 to 327 matches the Rfam family "5.8S ribosomal RNA". The record is from RNAcentral. Lineage: Eukaryota; Fungi.
UAACAGGUUUCCGUAGGUGAACCUGCGGAAGGAUCAUUAAUAGUGCUCUCUGAUGCAAAUCAUUGAGUUAGAUCUGCUCUCCUCGCAAGAGGAGGGUUUCCAUACACACCGUGAACUGUGGCUUCGGCCAUCACAAACUGUCAGUAAUGAAUGUAAUAUCAUAACAAAAACAAAACUUUUAACAACGGAUCUCUUGGCUCUCGCAUCGAUGAAGAACGCAGCGAAAUGCGAUAAGUAAUGUGAAUUGCAGAAUUCAGUGAAUCAUCGAAUCUUUGAACGCACCUUGUGCCCUUUGGUAUUCCGAAGGGCAUGCCUGUUUGAGUGUCAUGAAACCUCACCCCACUUGGGUUUUUGCCUGAGCGGUGGUGUAUUGGGUGUUGCCUUGCUAAAGGCUCGCCUUAAAGACAUAAGCACCUUGGAUGUAAUACGUUUCAUCCUUCUGGGUGGCUGAUAACCCCACAUAUUCAUGAUCUGGCCUCAAAUCAGGUAGGGCUACCCGCUGAACUUAAGCAUA